RNAcentral lists this ribosomal RNA (993 nucleotides) under uncultured organism. Its description in RNAcentral is "bacterial SSU rRNA". It matches the Rfam family "Bacterial small subunit ribosomal RNA", at positions 38 to 1001 of the family's 1533-position model. The record is from RNAcentral.
GGCGGCGUGCUUACACAUGCAAGUCGAACGAGAAAUCUUUAGCUUGCUAGAGAAAGUAAAGUGGCGCACGGGUGAGUAACGCGUGGGUAAUCUGCCUCCGAAUCGGGGAUGACAUUGCGAAAGCGAUGCUAAUACCGGAUAAAAUCUGGUUGGCUUCGGUGAACCGGAUCAAAGGUGGUCUCUUUAUAAAAGCUACCGUUUGGAGAUGAGCUCGCGUACCAUUAGCUAGUUGGUGAGGUAAAGGCUCACCAAGGCGACGAUGGUUAGCUGGUCUGAGAGGAUGAUCAGCCACACCGGAACUGGAACACGGUCCGGACUCCUACGGGAGGCAGCAGUGAGGAAUUUUGCGCAAUGGGGGAAACCCUGACGCAGCAACGCCGCGUGAGUGAUGAAGGCUUUCGGGUCGUAAAGCUCUGUCAGGUGGGAAGAACCCACCAAGUGUUAAGACCACUUGGUGCUGACGGUACCACCGAAGGAAGCACCGGCUAACUCCGUGCCAGCAGCCGCGGUAAUACGGGGGGUGCGAGCGUUAUUCGGAAUCAUUGGGCGUAAAGGGCGCGCAGGCGGUUUUGUAAGUCAGAUGUGAAAUCCCGGGGCUUAACCCCGGAAGUGCAUAUGAAACUAUGAGACUUGAGUAUGGGAGAGGGAAGCGGAAUUCCUGGUGUAGCGGUGAAAUGCGUAGAUAUCAGGAGGAACACCGGUGGCGAAGGCGGCUUCCUGGACCAAUACUGACGCUGAGGCGCGAAGGCGUGGGGAGCGAACAGGAUUAGAUACCCUGGUAGUCCACGCAGUAAACGUUGAUCACUAGGUGUAGCGGGUAUUGACCCCUGCUGUGCCGGAGUUAACGCAUUAAGUGAUCCGNCUGGGGAGUACGAUCGCCAGAUUAAAACUCAAGGAAUUGACGGUGGCCCGCACAAGCGGUGGAAGCAUGUUGGUUAAUUCGACGCGACGCGAAGAACCUUAACUUGGACUUGACCUUCUCGGGGAAUUCCG